CCCUUAGAUGUUCUGGGCUGCACGCGCGCUACACUGAUAUAUUCAUCGAGUUCCUAGCCUGAAAAGGUUUGGCAAUCUUCUGAAAAUAUAUCGUGACGGGGAUAGAUUAUUGCAAUUAUUAUUCUUAAACGAGGAAUUCCUAGUAAGCGCGAGUCAUCAACUCGCGUUGAUUAUGUCCCUGCCCUUUGUACACACCGCCCGUCGCUCCUACCGAUUGAAUGUUCCGGUGAACACAUCGGAUUUCUUUGCUUGCAUUGAAAAAAGAUGUGUAAACCUUAUCAUUUAGAGGAAGGAGAAGUCGUAACA
Molecule: ribosomal RNA, 306 nt
Filed under: uncultured eukaryote
Lineage: Eukaryota
Description: partial 18S ribosomal RNA
Rfam family: Eukaryotic small subunit ribosomal RNA
Source: RNAcentral